UUUGGAUCCAUGAUGUGAAUGUGUAACUGCGUUAUCUUUCUGCAAUUCCCAUGAAGAAGGAUAUAUAAUACACUGAGAUCCAAA
This 84-nucleotide small nucleolar RNA is filed under the name Macleaya cordata. RNAcentral describes it as "Small nucleolar RNA snoR27". It matches the Rfam family "Small nucleolar RNA snoR27". The record is from Rfam by way of RNAcentral. Lineage: Eukaryota; Viridiplantae; Streptophyta; Magnoliopsida; Ranunculales; Papaveraceae.